This 495-nucleotide ribosomal RNA is filed under the name uncultured bacterium. RNAcentral's name for it is "bacterial SSU rRNA". It matches the Rfam family "Bacterial small subunit ribosomal RNA", at positions 29 to 513 of the family's 1533-position model. The record is from RNAcentral.
AGUGAACGCUGGCGGCAGGCCUAAUACAUGCAAGUCGAACGGCAGCACAGCAGAGCUUGCUCUGUGGGUGGCGAGUGGCGGACGGGUGAGGAAUACAUGGGAAUCUGCCCAGUCGUGGGGGAUAACGUAUGGAAACGUACGCUAAUACCGCAUGCGCCCUACGGGGGAAAGCCGGGGACCGCAAGGCCUGGCGCGAUUGGAUGAGCCCAUGUUCGAUUAGCUAGUUGGCGGGGUAAAGGCCCACCAAGGCGACGAUCGAUAGCUGGUCUGAGAGGAUGAUCAGCCACACUGGAACUGAGACACGGUCCAGACUCCUACGGGAGGCAGCAGUAGGGAAUAUUGGACAAUGGGGGCAACCCUGAUCCAGCCAUGCCGCGUGAGUGAAGAAGGCCCUCGGGUUGUAAAGCUCUUUUGUCCGGAAAGAAAGCAAUCGGUUAAUACCCGGUUGUCCUGACGGUACCGGAAGAAUAAGCACCGGCUAACUUCGUGCCAGCA